Molecule: long non-coding RNA, 1359 nt
Organism: Mirounga angustirostris (Northern elephant seal)
Lineage: Eukaryota; Metazoa; Chordata; Mammalia; Carnivora; Phocidae
Exons: 3
Source: RefSeq, a predicted model, not a curated record
UUGGAAGCUAAGAAUACGGGGAGUCUCUGUUCUUUUUCCCUCCCAAAUUCUUGCUUCUGCUGCAGCACAGUCUGACCGAACAGCUUCGAGGCUCUGCCGCCAGCGGCUUGUUGGUGACAGGGGGACCGCAGGGACGGCCUUCUGGGGUGCCGUGGAAGCCCCCAGGUAGCUGAGAAGUUGAUGGAAUCUUCUUACUGGUCCAACUUUCACUAUUGCUUGUGUUAGAGUGUGAGGUAAAGGUGAGAAGGAGCCACGGGAAGGAAAGACCACAGGGAUACUGCCUUGAUCCAACUUCGCCAUGAUUCCAACAUCUGAGAGGAGGAUAGAGUGAAGGUUUCGCCCAAGGAGGCCCACUCUGCUCUGUGAACCCCAUCCUGUGGGGGUCACAUGUUGGGGGUGGAUGGGGCCUCCGUGAUAGGACUGAGAUCUCAGGAGCUGGGACCAGUCCUGCCAUUGCCGAGUCAGAGGAGGAGCCCGGUCCUACUGCAGGCAUCAAGGGGUAAGGCGAUAGCCCAACUUGGCGUUGAUUGCUGCUUCUUACCAGCUGUGUGACCUGAGCAGGGAAUUGCGCUCCCUGAACCUGUUACCUUAUCUGAGAACCAAGAAGAAUCUAAGUGUGUACCUCAUAGGUUAUGGUAAAGAUUAAAUAAGUUAAUAUAAUCAUAAUAAUAAUGGCCAACAUUAACCCACAUGUACCAUGUGCCAGCUUGGGUUGUAAACUAUAUGUAUUUGCUCAUUAAUCUUCAUACCCCUUGUAUUUUGCUGCUGGGAAAACAGAGGCUCAGAAUGGUGACGCAGAAGCCGGGGACACAAAAUCAGAGAGGACAGUGCCAGGUUUGAACCGAGUAGACUGGCUUUGGUAUCCUGUGCCUGACCACUCUGCCCUUGGACCUCUCUAUUUAGGCAAAACCUGGUGCUCUAAAAAUGCCCAGCCCGCUACCCUUUUCCCUUACCUUCCUCACCUAUGCCCUUUUGUCCCAAAGUGUGCAUUCCAGAAACUGUGUGCUGUCAUUUCUCAGAUACCGGAAGUCCACACAAAGAGUUUAUAACCCAGCCUGGCACAUAGGUUCACAUAGAUUCACCUUAAAUUAUUUUUCUUCUCAGUUUUGUUGUUGUCUUUGUUUUUUUAUUUUAUUUUAUUUUAUUUUAUCUUAUCUUAUCUUAUUUAUUUUAUUUUAUUUUGUUGUUGUUCCUUAAUCAAAAGUACAACUGAGGGCGCCUGGAUGGCUCAGUUGCUUAAGCAACUGCCUUCAGCUCAGGUCAUGGUCCCGGAGUUCCGGGAUCGAGUUCCGCAUUGGGCUCCCGGCUCAGCGGGGAGCCGGCUUCUCCCUCUGACCCUCUCCCCUCUCAAGCUGUUUC